GAUGAACGCUAGCGGCAGGCUUAACACAUGCAAGUCGAGGGGUAUGGUUCUUCGGAACCAGAGACCGGCGCACGGGUGCGUAACGCGUAUGCAAUCUACCUUUCACAGAGGGAUAGCCCAGAGAAAUUUGGAUUAAUACCUCAUAGUAUAUAGAGUUGGCAUCAACAUUAUAUUAAAGUCACAACGGUGAAAGAUGAGCA
RNAcentral lists this ribosomal RNA (200 nucleotides) under uncultured bacterium. RNAcentral's name for it is "partial 16S ribosomal RNA". It matches the Rfam family "Bacterial small subunit ribosomal RNA", at positions 28 to 231 of the family's 1533-position model. The record is from RNAcentral.